AUUUUUUUCUAAUAGAAAGUCUUAAAAAUAAUUAUUAUUUGUUUAGCACUUGCAACUGUGUUAUGCAUGUAUGUUAAAUGCUUUAUGCAGUGCUACUGUGCUUACUAACAUAAUAUUAUAUCUUGUAUAUCUAAAAUACAGAUUGUGUUUAUAGAUUAAAGAAUAUCUUUAACAUUUAACAUUGAAAUGACAAUUUUACAAUUAAUCCUGCAAUUAAAGUACUAUCCAUAUAAUUCAGAAGGUAUAAUGUAAAUUCAGAAAUUAUUACAUGCAUUUAUUAUUGCCAUUUUGUCCUUUUCGACUUAAAUGCAAUUUUAAUUUCUGUGACAUUGAGAAACAUCCUGUUUAUUUGAUAUAAAAAAAUUCUAAAUGCGAGUUGAAAUUAUUUCGAUUAUAACCCUGUCUCAUUUUUUGCAAUAAUAAAAACAUUGCAAUAAUUUCUGAAUUUACAGUAUUGUAUUUUUUCUCAGACAAUGUCAAGGGGAUAUCUGUUUAAACAAUGAAAUGGUAUAAGGUUAAAUGAUAUAUUGUAAAAUAAAGUUGAAGCUGAAAAUAAACAUUUCCUUUUCAAUAUAUCUAUAUUGCAUCAUGUUUUAUGUUGUUUAGUAUCUGAAUUGCUUGAACCUACUGUAUUGUUAUAUCUAGUUUACAACAACAAUUAACAGACUGAAUUAUUAAAAGGUGCAUCUAUUAACUCAUUGUUCUUUUUUUUAUUAUUGUCGUUUUUGUUAUUUUUAAAUCUUAAUACCAUGCUCAUAAAAACGAUUUAAAAUGGAAUCUGACCUAUUUUUCUACUGUAAAAGAAAUCAAUGUUAUUUUCAAUCAUAGUGUUGUGGAAUAAAGAUAAAC
RNAcentral lists this long non-coding RNA (849 nucleotides) under Mytilus galloprovincialis (Mediterranean mussel). Lineage: Eukaryota; Metazoa; Mollusca; Bivalvia; Mytilida; Mytilidae. The record is from RNAcentral.